GGGGCUGCAGCUCAGGGGGCAGAGCACUCGCCUGGCAUGCACAAGGCUCUGGGUUCCAUCCCCAGUACCCCCA
RNAcentral lists this transfer RNA (73 nucleotides) under Ictidomys tridecemlineatus (thirteen-lined ground squirrel). RNAcentral describes it as "Spermophilus tridecemlineatus (thirteen-lined ground squirrel) tRNA". It matches the Rfam family "tRNA". From Rfam's summary of the family: Transfer RNA (tRNA) molecules are approximately 80 nucleotides in length. Their secondary structure includes four short double-helical elements and three loops (D, anti-codon, and T loops). Further hydrogen bonds mediate the characteristic L-shaped molecular structure. tRNAs have two regions of fundamental functional importance: the anti-codon, which is responsible for specific mRNA codon recognition, and the 3' end, to which the tRNAs corresponding amino acid is attached (by aminoacyl-tRNA synthetases). tRNAs cope with the degeneracy of the genetic code in two manners: having more than one tRNA (with a specific anti-codon) for a particular amino acid; and 'wobble' base-pairing, i.e. permitting non-standard base-pairing at the 3rd anti-codon position. Lineage: Eukaryota; Metazoa; Chordata; Mammalia; Rodentia; Sciuridae. The record is from Rfam by way of RNAcentral.